GAGGCUGCAGUCGAGAAUCUUUCGCAAUGGGCGCAAGCCUGACGAAGCGACGCCGUGUGGAUGAUGACAGCUUUCGGGUUGUAAAGUCCUUUCGCUUGGGAGCAAGAGAAAUUGGCUAAUAACUAAUAAUUUGAGAG
This 137-nucleotide ribosomal RNA is filed under the name uncultured Chlamydiales bacterium. RNAcentral's name for it is "partial 16S ribosomal RNA". It matches the Rfam family "Bacterial small subunit ribosomal RNA", at positions 345 to 475 of the family's 1533-position model. Lineage: Bacteria; Pseudomonadati; Chlamydiota; Chlamydiia; Chlamydiales. The record is from RNAcentral.